CCUACGGGAGGCAGCAGUAGGGAAUUUUCGUCAAUGGGCGCAAGCCUGAACGAGCGAUGCCGCGUGAGUGAAGAAGGUCUUCGGGUCGUAAAGCUCUGUUUCGGGGGAAAAAAGGCAGCAUCAGGAAAUGGGUGCUGACUGAUGGUGCCCCGCCAGAAAGUCACGGCUAACUACGGGCCAGCAGCCGCGGUAAUACGUAGGUGGCGAGCGUUAUCCGGAAUGGUUGGGCGUAAAGGGUGCGGAGGCGGCCCGACAAGUCUGGAGUGAAACGCGUGAGCUCAACACAUGCAUGGCUUUGGAAACUGGAGGACUGGAGGGCAGGAGAGGGAGGUGGAACUCGAGGUGUAGCGGUGAAAUGCGUAGAUAUAUGGAAGAACACCAGUGGCGAAGGCGGCCGCCUGGUCUGUUGCUGACGCUGAGGCACGAAAGCGUGGGGAGCAAAUAGGAUUAGAUACCCGAGUAGUC
Molecule: ribosomal RNA, 465 nt
Filed under: uncultured bacterium
Lineage: Bacteria
Description: partial 16S ribosomal RNA
Rfam family: Bacterial small subunit ribosomal RNA
Source: RNAcentral